GAUGCUGGAGGUAAGAAGGCAAAAAUAUAAUUCCAUUUUUUGUAUCUCUUCUAAAUGACUUUAUUUUCUGCUUGCUUUCUUAGGGAGGCCCUUCCAAGCAAUAGAAUUCUAUGUUAUCAUUCUCCCAAGGCAGAGUGGAGGUAUAGAGCAGCUAUGUCAGUCAGCAACUUCUGUGCCAAGAAAUGGGGAAGAGUUGCUUUAAGGCCACAAGAUCGUUAUGCAGUCAUCAGACUUCCAUGUGGCAGUGGUAGCAAAUCCAGUAUAGGGAUCAAAUCCUUAAAUAUGUACAAGAACCUAAAUCCUUUCCAUCUCUGGCCCAGGAACAGUAUCUCUACUGGAGGGAGGUGGGUGGACUAACACAGAGCUCACUGCUGAACUACUGAACUUGGGUGGAUCAGAAACAGAAUUGAAGCUAUUUUAUCUGGACCUAAUUAAACAACCUUCAUUACUGGCAGGUAUGUGUUUGUGAUGACUAGAAAUUAGCUUGAUUGGAAUUAAACCUCAAAAUAUAAGGCAUUGAA
Molecule: long non-coding RNA, 521 nt
Filed under: Manacus vitellinus (golden-collared manakin)
Lineage: Eukaryota; Metazoa; Chordata; Aves; Passeriformes; Pipridae
Description: lncRNA (ENSMVIG00005005224.1)
Source: RNAcentral